Molecule: RNA transcript, 493 nt
Organism: Piliocolobus tephrosceles (Ugandan red Colobus)
Lineage: Eukaryota; Metazoa; Chordata; Mammalia; Primates; Cercopithecidae
Gene name: cytochrome b5 pseudogene
Exons: 1
Source: RefSeq, a predicted model, not a curated record
GUGGCGUGCUCUCCUCCACCCGUCGUGGCUGUGUGUGCUGGGCAUGGCUCGCAGCAAACCGAGAUGGCCGAGCAGUCGGAGGAGGCUGUGAAGUACUACACCCUAGAGGAGAUUCAGAAGGACAACCACAGCAAGAGCACCUGGCUGAUCCUGCACCACAAGGUGUACGAUUUGACUAAAUUUCUGGAAGAGCAUCCUGGUGGGGAAGAAGUCUUAAGGGAACAAGCUGGAGGUGACGUUACUGAGACUUUUGAGGAUGUCGGGCACCCUUCAGAUGCCAGGGAAAUGUCCAAAACAUACCUCAUUGGGGAGCUCCAUCCAGAUGACAGACCAAAGUUAAACAAGCCUCCGGAAACUCUUAUCACUACUGUUGAUUCUAGUUCCAGUUGGUGGACCAACUGGGUGAUCCCUGCCAUCUCUGCAGUGGCUGUCACCUUCAUGUAUCGCCUAUACAUGGCAGAAGACUGAACACCUCCUCAGAAGCCAGCACAGG